This 522-nucleotide small RNA is filed under the name Endocalyx cinctus. RNAcentral describes it as "eukaryotic LSU rRNA". The stretch from base 175 to 328 matches the Rfam family "5.8S ribosomal RNA". The record is from RNAcentral. Lineage: Eukaryota; Fungi; Ascomycota; Sordariomycetes; Amphisphaeriales; Apiosporaceae.
UCUCCGUUGGUGAACCAGCGGAGGGAUCAUUAUAGAGUUUAUUCUCUCCAACCCAUGUGAACGUACUACGUUGCCUCGGCGGCACGAGCCCCCUCUUCGGUAGGGGCCCGCUUCCGCCGGAGGAAAGCAAACUCUUGUUUAAUUUGUAUUCUGAAAUAACUAGCAAAUAGUUAAAACUUUCAACAACGGAUCUCUUGGUUCUGGCAUCGAUGAAGAACGCAGCGAAAUGCGAUAAGUAAUGUGAAUUGCAGAAUUCAGUGAAUCAUCGAAUCUUUGAACGCACAUUGCGCUCUCCAGUAUUCUGGAGAGCAUGCCUGUUCGAGCGUCAUUUCAACCCUCAAGCAUCGCUUGGUGAUGGGGACCGCCGCGGCGGCCCCCCGAAAUUAGUGGCGGAGCUGGAUAGCACUCUGAGCGUAGUAACAUUAUCUCGCUUUUGAAGGCUUCCGGCCUCCCUAGCCGUAAAAUUAAUUUUUUUUAUUCAGGUUUGACCUCGGAUCAGGUAGGAAUACCCGCUGAACUUAA